GGUUCGGCUGUGCCUGUUACAUUCUGUGAUGACUCUGGAUAACUUUACUGAUCGCAGUCGGCCUUGUGUCGGCGACGGAUCUUUCAAAUGUCUGCCCUAUCAAUUUGUUGGUAGGUGAUUUGCCUACCAUGAUGAUAACGGGUAACGGGGAAUCAGGGUUCGAUUCCGGAGAGGGAGCCUGAGAAAUGGCUACCACAUCCAAGGACGGCAGCAGGCGCGAAAAUUACCCACUCCCGGCACGGGGAGGUAGUGACGAAAAAUACGUAUACGGGACUCAAUUGAGGCUCCGUAAUUCGAAUGAGUACAAUUUAAAUCCUUUAACGAGGACCAAUUGGAGGGCAAGUCUGGUGCCAGCAGCCGCGGUAACUCCAGCUCCAAAAGCGUAUAUUAAAGUUGCUGCAGUUAAAAAGCUCGUAGUUGAAUCUGGGUCGUGCGGUCGCAUGCCGUUGCUUGUUCACGGUUUUGGUUACGAUCAGGACCAGUGUUCAGCUCGGUGUAGUGGCUGUGCAGCCUUUCAGCCGUGUCUGUGUUAAACGGGUGCUGGUGGGUUGACGAGUUCGUCUUGUUGACCUGUCGGCAUGCUUCCGGAUGCCUUUAAACGGGUGUCGGGAGCGGACGGCAUCUUUACUUUUGAACAAAUUUGAGUGCUCAAAGCAGGCCUAUGUGCCUGAAAAUUCUUGCAUGGAAUAAUGAAAUAGGACUUCGGUUCUAUUUUGUUGGUUUUCGGAUCCGAAGUAAUGGUUAAGAGGGACAGACGGGGGCAUUUGUAUGGCGGUGUUAGAGGUGAAAUUCUGGGAUCGCCGCCAGACAAACUACAGCGAAAGCAUUUGCCAAGAAUGUUUUCAUUGAUCAGGAGCGAAAGUCAGAGUUUCGAAGACGAUCAGAUACCGUCGUAGUUCUGACCAUAAACGAUGCCAACUGACGAUCCGCGUUGGUUCUAUAAUUGACAUCGCGGGCAGUCCCCGGGAAACCUUUAAGUCUUUGGGCUCCGGGGGGAGUAUGGUUGCAAAGCUGAAACUUAAAGGAAUUGACGGAAGGGCACCACCAGGAGUGGAGCCUGCGGUUUAAUUCGACUCAACACGGGAAAACUCACCCGGCCCGGACACUGUGAGGAUUGACAGAUUGAUAGCUCUUUCUUGAUUCGGUGGGUGGUGGUGCAUGGCCGUUCUUAGUUGGUGGAGCGAUUUGUCUGGUUAAUU
RNAcentral lists this ribosomal RNA (1199 nucleotides) under Schistosoma mansoni. RNAcentral's name for it is "SSU rRNA". It matches the Rfam family "Eukaryotic small subunit ribosomal RNA", at positions 224 to 1324 of the family's 1831-position model. Lineage: Eukaryota; Metazoa; Platyhelminthes; Trematoda; Strigeidida; Schistosomatidae. The record is from RNAcentral.